RNAcentral lists this unclassified non-coding RNA (351 nucleotides) under soil metagenome. Its description in RNAcentral is "partial contains 5.8S ribosomal RNA, internal transcribed spacer 2, and large subunit ribosomal RNA". The stretch from base 1 to 120 matches the Rfam family "5.8S ribosomal RNA", at positions 35 to 154 of the family's 154-position model. The record is from RNAcentral.
GAUGAAGAACGUAGUGAAAUGCGAUAAGUAGUGUGAAUUGCAGAAUUCAGUGAAUCAUCGAAUCUUUGAACGCACAUUGCGCCCGCCAGUAUUCUGGCGGGCAUGCCUGUUCGAGCGUCAUUACAACCCUCAGGCCCCCGGGCCUGGCGUUGGGGAUCGGCGGAGCCCCCCGUGGGCACACGCCGUCCCCCAAAUGCAGUGGCGGUCCCGCCGCAGCUUCCAUCGCGUAGUAGCUAACACCUCGCGACUGGAGAGCGGCGCGGCCACGCCGUAAAACACCCAACUCUUCUGAAGUUGACCUCGAAUCAGGUAGGAAUACCCGCUGAACUUAAGCAUAUCAAUAACGGAGGA